This 1022-nucleotide long non-coding RNA is filed under the name Trifolium pratense (red clover). RNAcentral describes it as "long non-coding RNA (TPRA_LNC002386)". The record is from RNAcentral. Lineage: Eukaryota; Viridiplantae; Streptophyta; Magnoliopsida; Fabales; Fabaceae.
CAUUUAUAAUAUGCAGAGAUUUAUGAUUCAAAUUAGGUAUAGUUUACACAAGCCAACCAAACACAAAGCAACCACAUAGCUCUCAUAACACCUUCAACAAAAUCUAAGAAUAUUUCAAUUUGUUGAAAGUGAGAUCCAUGAACACAUUAUAUUAUUAUUCUAUAAAAGCAAACACAUACAUACUAGUAUAUGCUUCUUAUACAUUAAAUGUGUACACUCAUACACACAAUUAUACAUAUUGAUUUCAUUAUUAUCUCUGCUUCAAACUUUCAUAUGUUGCAUCUCACUUGCAGUUGCAAGGGUCACAUGUGCAGUUUGAUCCACACUUGCACCCACUUUCCUCAGCUGCAACACCCAUUUCAGCACCCUCAAAUUGGAUCUUUGCCGGACCAACGCCGAGAAUCACGGUUUCUGUGGUUUCCACUUCCACAUAGCUCAAUCCACUUGACCUCUUGUUGCAUCUGCGAAGCAAUAAAAUUUAAUUAUACACAUGAAGUGUGAAAAAUUAUGGAUAAUUUGAUUUGAAAAUAAAAGGUUCUCAUGAGACCUUUAAAACAAAGUGUUACAAAAAAAAUUGAAUUAGUCAUUAAUAUUUGAGAUUAAAAAAAAAAAAUUUAAUUAAUGGCCGGCUAAGUGAAGGAACAUAUCUUGAACUAAUUUUUCGAAUUUUAUCAAACACUAAUUAAAUAAAUAUAAAUAUCCCCAAACAUGCUCAAUAAAUUAUAGAAACAUAAAAUUUUAAAAGAACCUAGCCAAAAGGGGUAGUCAAAAAAUGAAUCAAAAUAUUUUUUUAAAAGGAUUCCAAAAAUCACAAGAUCAAAGUAAACACACAUAAUUUUGUAAAAAAAAAUUAGAAAGCAACAAAUUAAGAAUAUUUAAGGUGGUUGAUUCUUACUUGCAGCUAUCGCCACAAUUGCAACUGCUUCCACAAUUACAGCCUGACAUAUUUUCUCACAAACAAAUAUUUGCAAAGCAAAGAACAAUUAAUAUUAUCGGUUGGUUGAUUCUUCACUACAAUUGAU